Molecule: ribosomal RNA, 948 nt
Filed under: fungal sp. PDB99
Lineage: Eukaryota; Fungi
Description: eukaryotic LSU rRNA
Rfam family: Eukaryotic large subunit ribosomal RNA
Source: RNAcentral
UUUACCCGCUGAAACUUAAGCAUAUCAAUAAGCGGAGGAAAAGAAACCAACAGGGAUUGCCUUAGUAACGGCGAGUGAAGCGGCAACAGCUCAAAUUUGAAAUCUGGCGCCUUUGGCGUCCGAAUUGUAAUUUGCAGAGGAUGCUUCGGCGUUGGCGCCGCCCAAAGUUCCUUGGAACGGGACGUCGCAGAGGGUGAGAGCCCCGUGUUCGGGCGGAUGCCUUCGCCGUGUGAAGCUCCUUCGACGAGUCGAGUUGUUUGGGAAUGCAGCUCAAAACGGGAGGUAAAUUUCUUCCAAAGCUAAAUACCGGCCGGAGACCGAUAGUGCACAAGUAGAGUGAUCGAAAGAUGAAAAGCACUUUGGAAAGAGAGUCAAACAGCGCGUGAAAUUGUUGAAAGGGAAGCGCUUGCGGUCAGAACUUGGCCGCCGUUGCUCGGGGAGGUCUCGCGCCUCCCUCGCUCUUCGGCGGCUGGGCCAGCAUCGGUUCGGGCGGCUCGAGAAAGGUCGCGGGAACGUAGCUCCCUCCGGGGAGUGUUAUAGCCCGCGGCGCAAUAGGGCCUGCCUGGACCGAGGUCUGCGCAUUUGCUCGGAUGCUGGCGUAAUGGCCCCAAGCGGCCCGUCUUGAAACACGGACCAAGGAGUCUAACAUUCGUGCGAGUGUUCGGGUGUCAAACCCGUGCGCGCAAUGAAAGUGAACGUAGGUGGGAACCCCUCGCGGGCGCACCAUCGACCGAUCCUGAUGUCUUCGGAUGGAUUUGAGUAUGAGCACGUAUGUUGGGACCCGAAAGAUGGUGAACUAUGCCUAAGCAGGGCGAAGCCAGAGGAAACUCUGGUGGAGGCUCGCAGCGGUUCUGACGUGCAAAUCGAUCGUCAAAUUUGGGUAUAGGGGCGAAAGACUAAUCGAUCCAUUUAGUAGCUGGUUCCUGCCGAAGUUUCCCCUCAGGAAAA